UGAGGUGAGCAUGCACUCUGACUGCAACAUCUGACACCCCACUAGUCACCAGGGUGACUUAGCUCAUCUGACUAACUAGGAAGAGGUCCCCUUCCUCCCUCAUCACUCAAUGCAGUACCUCCCAAAGGUACACACCAAGAGUUACUUUCCNAGGUAGAGGACUGUUCUUCCAUCAAGGGUAUCUGAGUAGCUGUGUUCCCGUUAGAAUCUCCAAACAAGUUCUCAAUAUGUAAUUGGUUGUGUGUACUCUAUCAGCCUGAAUCUAAAUAAGCUGUGUAAGNAGGUUCUCACCUGGGUAAAGGGCUGCUUU
This 310-nucleotide small nuclear RNA is filed under the name Neotoma lepida (desert woodrat). Its description in RNAcentral is "7SK RNA". It matches the Rfam family "7SK RNA". Rfam says of the family: 7SK was discovered as an abundant small nuclear RNA in the mid-70s but a possible function has only recently been suggested. Two independent studies have found that 7SK RNA binds the CDK9/cyclin T complex (known as elongation factor P-TEFb). The record is from Rfam by way of RNAcentral. Lineage: Eukaryota; Metazoa; Chordata; Mammalia; Rodentia; Cricetidae.